ACCUGGCUGGCUCAGUCAGUAGAGCAUAUGACUCUUAACCUUAGGAUCAUGAGUUCUAGUUUCAUGUUGGGUA
RNAcentral lists this transfer RNA (73 nucleotides) under Canis lupus familiaris (dog). It matches the Rfam family "tRNA". Rfam says of the family: Transfer RNA (tRNA) molecules are approximately 80 nucleotides in length. Their secondary structure includes four short double-helical elements and three loops (D, anti-codon, and T loops). The record is from Rfam by way of RNAcentral. RNAcentral also lists the same sequence under 1 other name. Lineage: Eukaryota; Metazoa; Chordata; Mammalia; Carnivora; Canidae.